This 252-nucleotide ribosomal RNA is filed under the name uncultured bacterium. RNAcentral's name for it is "partial 16S ribosomal RNA". It matches the Rfam family "Bacterial small subunit ribosomal RNA", at positions 524 to 776 of the family's 1533-position model. The record is from RNAcentral.
UACGUAGGGGGCAAGCGUUGUCCGGAAUCAUUGGGCGUAAAGCGCGCGUAGGCGGCCCGGUAAGUCCGCUCUGAAAGUCCAGGGUUAACCCUGGAAAGCGGGUGGAUACUGCCGGGCUUGAAUCCGGAAGAGGCGAGUGGAAUUCCUGGUGUAGCGGUGGAAUGCGCAGAUAUCAGGAGGAACACCGAUGGCGAAGGCAGGUCUCUGGGCCGAUACUGACGCUGAGGAGCGAAAGCGUGGGGAGCGAACAGG